This is a long non-coding RNA of Rhineura floridana, 2725 nucleotides long. RefSeq lists it as uncharacterized. Lineage: Eukaryota; Metazoa; Chordata; Lepidosauria; Squamata; Rhineuridae. The record is from RefSeq and is a predicted model, not a curated record. The transcript has 3 exons.
UCCUGCGGCGUCUUUUUCUCCGUUGGCGAAUUCGGGGAGGGAGAGGGCUGUAAGUAGGAGCGCGGGGGAGCGCAGGAGCGCGGGGAAGUAUAGAAUCGUUUCCCUUUCUAAAGCUCGCGUUUACUAUUCAGAUAGGAUUUCUCUUCUGAGGGUACCAGUGUGAAGGUAAUCAAAAUCUGUAAAGGAUGAUUACUGGGUUUCUCUGACCCACUGGGGUUGGAGUAUGCUUUGGGAUCCGUCAUAGAGCACGUGCUUCGCUUGCUCAGGAUCACAGGUGCAAUCCCUGGCGUCGAAUACAGCUGCCAGUAAGUGCGAGGGCAAUACUGAGCGAGAGGGACCAGCUGUCUAACUUGGUACAAGGCAGCAUCAUACCGUUAUGAAAGGAAAAUGCGACGUUGGUGGUCUUUCGAGGAUGAGUGUGAUGUUCCUAUAUAUUAGUGUAUAUAUGAAACCAGGGCCAUAGCCAGCCUUCCUCACUAGAUGGCGCUACCAUGUUCCAGACUAGAACUCACGGACAUCCAAUGAAGCUGAAUGUUAGAAGAUUCAGGAGAGACAAAUAAAAUGCUUCUUCGUGCAGUGCACAGUUAAACUAUGGAAUUUGCUCCCACAAGAGGCAGUGAUGGCCACCAGCUUGGAUGGAUUUAAAAGAAGAUUAGACAAAUUCAUGGGAGGAUAAGACUGUCAGUGACUACUAGCCAUGAUGGCUAUGCUCUUUCCACUGCAGUCAGAGGUGGUAUGCUUUUGAAUACCUGUUGCUGGAAACUGCAGGAGGGGAGAGUGCUGUUGUGCAUCGGUCCUGCUUGCGGGCUUCCCACAGGCAUCUGGUUUGUCACUGUGAGAAAAGGAUGCUGGCCUAGGUGGGUCAUUGGCCUGAUCCAACAGGCACUUACGUUCAGUUUAUACAAUAUAAGAUGGCAGUGUACAAGAAUAUAUACAAUGAAAUAUAAAACACCAUAAAAACAGUAAAACAUCAUUAAAAUGACUAGCUGGUCAGAAAAUGUAAACAGUUACAUAGCCCUGUAUACAUGAAAAGGUCGUCAAGAAACACCUGAAAAUCAAAAGCAAGGUUGUCUGCUCAAUCUCUGGUGGAAGAGUGUUCCACAGCAUGGGACUGGCAGCACUAAAUUGCCCUUGCCUGUGCUCAGGAGGGGGAAAUCUGUUGUGAAUUUGGCAGGGUGCUCUUUUUGAAAAUGGCUACAACUACAUUCACUUUUAGUAAGUCUUUUGCUGAGAUACAGUAGGACCCCACUUCUCAGUGCCCUGCUAAUAUGGUGCCACCGGGGUGAUCAACUGGAGGGGGGGCUGGAGCUCCCCGCUCUCCAGCUGAUCUCGCCAGAGGAGGGGAAGAUCAACUGUAGAGAGCUACUGCUGAUCUCCUCUUCUGGCACGAUCAGAUUCCCGCGUUUGAGCUGAUUGCGCCGGAGGAGGGGAAGAUCAGCUGUAGCGCUCUACAGCUGAUCUUCUCCUCUGGCGUGAUCAGCGGGUUAGGUUCCAGACCCCCGCGCUACAGCCAGGGCUGUGGAGUUGGAAUCGGAAGCAAUUUUGGGUGGAGUCGGAGUCGGUAGAAAUGUACUGACUCCGACUUCAAAAUAAAAUUAAUGUUUUAAUAUUAAUAUUAAUACAUUAAUAUUAAUACAUUAAUAUACAUUUGCCAUUUAUGAAGGAGUCAGAGUCGGACAGUAGAAAAAUAGAGGAGUCACAGUCGAAGGUUUGACAUACCGAUUCCACAGCCCUGGCUACAGCUGAUCCGCUUUUUGGCGGUUUUCGCUUUUUGGUGGUGGUCUGGAACCUAACCUGCCAUAUGAGUGGGGCCCUGCUGUAUUUCAAAAACUGCUAAAAAUAAUAAGCCAUUUAAUAUAGCGUAGUACAUUUUAAAUAUUAGUUAUAAGCAAUAUAAAAUGCAAGGAAUUUACAAUCACAAAUUCCAACUCCUUUUAUGAAAAGUAACCUGGAAAAAUGGUGGUCAAAGUGAUCUGUAAUCCUCUGUAAAUAUAGAUGCAAUUUUGCAUUGAUUGGUUGAUCAUAAUUUUAUAAAAUGCUUUACAAGUGCUUAGCUACGCAGAACAUAGUCUUUGUUCCUAUCUGUAUUUACCAUAUGAUGAUGAAUUGCUGACUUCUGACUACAGAACCUGUGUUUCACUGAGGUCAUCUCCUACCUAUCAGUGCUUUGAGCACAUAGCAGAAACGUAGGCUUGUGGCAUUAAAGUGAAUUACAGCACUAUGUCACCCUAGUAUAACAAAUCCACUUCUUUAAAGAAACAACCCACUUUUUGUAGUUAGGAAAAUGAAAGGGAAAUACACUGAAAAGUAUGGGGUGAAUGAAUAAUUAAUGGGAAGAUAUAUAAAUGCUGCACAAGCAAAUUAGGAUGAAUGGUCAGGAAAGCCCAGGCAUAGUCUAACCUCUGCAUAAUGUGCAAGCAAAUCAGGAUGAACAAAGCAUCCCCUUUUUGACGUACUCAGACAAUUCGUCAUUUUCGCCUUACCAAACCACAUCAAUGUGACAGAUUUGCUCUGUCCAGGGUAGAAGUCUAAGCAUUUUGUCUAUGUAGCAGGCUGUGAGCCUGGCAGUUAAGCUGCACCUUAGCUUUCCCUGAGACAGAUGCCAUGUCAAAGGAGAGAGAGCAGGGCUGGCUCCAGGAAUGCCGGGGCCCUUGGGCAUCAGCUUGCCCUGGGCCCCGGCAUGCAUGUGUGCACAUGCCCCCCACCUACCUGUCUCCUGUCUUUU